This 253-nucleotide ribosomal RNA is filed under the name uncultured bacterium. RNAcentral's name for it is "partial 16S ribosomal RNA". It matches the Rfam family "Bacterial small subunit ribosomal RNA", at positions 524 to 776 of the family's 1533-position model. The record is from RNAcentral.
UACAGAGGUCCCAAGCGUUGUUCGGAUUCACUGGGCGUAAAGGGUGCGUAGGCGGUCGGGUAAGUCUGCUGUGAAAUCUCACAGCUUAACUGUGAAACUGCAUUGGAUACUAUCCGGCUCGAGGAAUGGAGGGGAGACUGGAAUACUUGGUGUAGCAGUGAAAUGCGUAGAUAUCAAGUGGAACACCAGUGGCGAAGGCGAGUCUCUGGACAUUUCCUGACGCUGAGGCACGAAAGCCAGGGGAGCAAACGGG